This 290-nucleotide unclassified non-coding RNA is filed under the name Pseudomerulius aureus. RNAcentral describes it as "partial internal transcribed spacer region". The stretch from base 1 to 46 matches the Rfam family "Eukaryotic small subunit ribosomal RNA", at positions 1786 to 1831 of the family's 1831-position model. Lineage: Eukaryota; Fungi; Basidiomycota; Agaricomycetes; Boletales; Tapinellaceae. The record is from RNAcentral.
AAGUCGUAACAAGGUUUCCGUAGGUGAACCUGCGGAAGGAUCAUUAUCGAUUCUCCUUUGAAGGAGGUUUGGGCUGUGCUGGCCUUUCCGAAGGCAUGUGCACGUCCUCACAUCCGUACCCAUACACCUGUGCACCUGUUGUAGGUCUCGCAAGGGAUCUAUGUUAUCUUUGAUAAACACCUUGAUGUAUGUCCUUAGAAUGUCCUUAUGAUUGUCUUUGCUGCUCGAUUUAUUUUGAGUGGUGGAGAUGAAAUAUAUUAUAACUUUCAGCAAUGGAUCUCUUGGUUCUC